Molecule: ribosomal RNA, 372 nt
Filed under: uncultured bacterium
Lineage: Bacteria
Description: partial 16S ribosomal RNA
Rfam family: Bacterial small subunit ribosomal RNA
Source: RNAcentral
UACGUAGGGGGCGAGCGUUAUCCGGAUUCAUUGGGCGUAAAGCGCGCGUAGGCGGCCUGGCAGGCCGGGGGUCAAAUGCGGGGGCUCAACCCCCGCCCGCCCCCGGAACCUCCGGGCUUGGGUCCGGUAGGGGAGGGUGGAACACCCGGUGUAGCGGUGGAAUACGCAGAUAUCGGGUGGAACACCGGUGGCGAAGGCGGCCCUCGGGGCCGUGACCGACGCUGAGGCGCGAAAGCUGGGGGAGCGAACAGGAUUAGAUACCCUGGUAGUCCCAGCCGUAAACGAUGGACGCUAGGUGUGGGGGGACGAUCCCUCCGUGCCGAAGCCAACGCAUUAAGCGUCCCGCCUGGGGAGUACGGCCGCAAGGCUAAA